Non-coding RNA from Leptonychotes weddellii (Weddell seal), 257 nucleotides. The record is from RefSeq and is a predicted model, not a curated record. NCBI's taxonomy places the organism in Eukaryota, Metazoa, Chordata, Mammalia, Carnivora, Phocidae.
UUGCCAGCUGUGGAUGGAGUAAGAAGGAGAAACAUAGUCUCGCCCCCAACGUUGUGGCCUUUACCCGGAGGUUUAACCAGGUCAGUUUUUGGGUUGUUCGAGAAAUUCUAACAGCACAGACUUUAAAAAUAAGGGCAGAAAUCCUGAGCCAUUUUGUGAAAAUAGCCAAGAAACUUCUAGAACUCAACAACCUUCAUUCUCUCAUGUCUGUGGUAUCAGCAUUACAAAGUGCACCCAUCUUCAGGCUGACAAAAACC